UAAUAGAUUACUACCAUAGAUUCAGUUCAUCACAUCGUAAGCAACCACAUUCAGUUUACCAAAAGUAACGCAAAAGAUAAAGAUAAAACAUGCUGCCACAUUCAGUUCAUCACAUCAUCACAUCACACCGAAGUCAGUGCCUUCGCGAGGGCAGCAUGUUGCCCCCUGAUCAUGUAGUCCUCCCCGCGAUUCGCUACAUCCUCUGCAUGAGAC
RNAcentral lists this long non-coding RNA (213 nucleotides) under Hordeum vulgare. Its description in RNAcentral is "long non-coding RNA (HVUL_LNC002980)". Lineage: Eukaryota; Viridiplantae; Streptophyta; Magnoliopsida; Poales; Poaceae. The record is from RNAcentral.